GAUGUUAGCUCAGUGGUAGAGCAUCUGCCUUACAAGCAGAUGGCCAUAGGUUCAAAUCCUAUACAUC
Molecule: transfer RNA, 67 nt
Filed under: Diacronema lutheri
Lineage: Eukaryota; Haptophyta; Pavlovophyceae; Pavlovales; Pavlovaceae
Rfam family: tRNA
About the family: Transfer RNA (tRNA) molecules are approximately 80 nucleotides in length. Their secondary structure includes four short double-helical elements and three loops (D, anti-codon, and T loops). Further hydrogen bonds mediate the characteristic L-shaped molecular structure. tRNAs have two regions of fundamental functional importance: the anti-codon, which is responsible for specific mRNA codon recognition, and the 3' end, to which the tRNAs corresponding amino acid is attached (by aminoacyl-tRNA synthetases). tRNAs cope with the degeneracy of the genetic code in two manners: having more than one tRNA (with a specific anti-codon) for a particular amino acid; and 'wobble' base-pairing, i.e. permitting non-standard base-pairing at the 3rd anti-codon position.
Source: RNAcentral